ACGAACGCUGGCGGCGUGCUUCAUACAUGCAAGUCGAACGGGAUCCAUGCAGUGGCAACACUGCGGAAGAUCUAGUGGCGAACGGGUGAGUAACACGUGAGGAACCUAUCCCGGUCUCUGGAAUAACAAGUGGAAACACUUGCUAAUACCGGAUGCCGUCAUCACCUCUCCUGGGGAGAUGACGAAAGAUUUAUCGGAUCGGGCGGGCCUCGCGGCCUAUCAGCUAGUUGGUGGGGUAACGGCCUACCAAGGCAUCGACGGGUAGCUGGUCUGAGAGGAUGAUCAGCCACACUGGGACUGAGACACGGCCCAGACUCCUACGGGAGGCAGCAGUAGGGAAUCUUGCGCAAUGGGCGAAAGCCUGACGCAGCAACGCCGCGUGCGGGAAGAAGGCUCUCGGGUUGUAAACCGCUUUCAGUAGGAACGAAUUUGACGGUACCUGCAGAAGAAGGUGCGGCCAACUACGU
This 467-nucleotide ribosomal RNA is filed under the name uncultured bacterium. RNAcentral describes it as "bacterial SSU rRNA". It matches the Rfam family "Bacterial small subunit ribosomal RNA", at positions 29 to 506 of the family's 1533-position model. The record is from RNAcentral.